GUGCAUAAUGGCUAAGUCUCGCUCCGAAACGAAAUCGAAGCGACCGGUUUUUGGGAACAAGACUCUGUUAAUUAUGCUCAAAAGCAAUCUCAUUUCAGCAUUGAGGUCUUGGGACUUGAUUAUGUCAAGAGGACCGCAAUCUUCUCUACCUAGGAUUAGGUUUAAGGCAACUUCCCUUUGGGGAUGUGAGGUCGGAGCCUCACCGUACUUGGGUAUUUGUAACAAACUAGAUAAGAUGUCCUCAUUGAUUUCUACCAAUGUGCCUCGGACAUAUCCAGUGUACC
RNAcentral lists this long non-coding RNA (284 nucleotides) under Phoenix dactylifera (date palm). Its description in RNAcentral is "long non-coding RNA (PDAC_LNC012337)". The record is from RNAcentral. Lineage: Eukaryota; Viridiplantae; Streptophyta; Magnoliopsida; Arecales; Arecaceae.